CAGAACGAACGCUGGCGGCACGCCUAACACAUGCAAGUCGAGCGCACCUUCGGGUGAGCGGCGGACGGGUUAGUAACGCGUGGGAACAUACCCUUCUCUAAGGAAUAGCCACUGGAAACGGUGAGUAAUACCUUAUACGCCCUUCGGGGGAAAGAUUUAUCGGAGAUGGAUUGGCCCGCGUUAGAUUAGAUAGUUGGUGGGGUAAUGGCCUACCAAGUCUACGAUCUAUAGCUGGUUUUAGAGGAUGAUCAGCAACACUGGGACUGAGACACGGCCCAGACUCCUACGGGAGGCAGCAGUGGGGAAUCUUAGACAAUGGGCGAAAGCCUGAUCUAGCGAUGCCGCGUGAGUGAUGAAGGCCUUAGGGUCGUAAAGCUCUUUCGCCAGGGAUGAUAAUGACAGUACCUGGUAAAGAAACCCCGGCUAACUCCGUGCCAGCAGCCGCGGUAAUACGGAGGGGGUUAGCGUUGUUCGGAAUUACUGGGCGUAAAGCGCACGUAGGCGGACUAUUAAGUCAGAGGUGAAAUCCCAGGGCUCAACCCUGGAACUGCCUUUGAUACUGGUAGUCUUGAGUUCGAGAGAGGUGAGUGGAAUUCCGAGUGUAGAGGUGAAAUUCGUAGAUAUUCGGAGGAACACCAGUGGCGAAGGCGGCUCACUGGCUCGAUACUGACGCUGAGGUGCGAAAGUGUGGGGAGCAAACAGGAUUAGAUACCCUGGUAGUCCACACCGUAAACGAUGAAUGCCAGUCGUCAGCAAGUAUACUUGUUGGUGACACACCUAACGGAUUAAGCAUUCCGCC
RNAcentral lists this ribosomal RNA (799 nucleotides) under Tateyamaria sp. RNAcentral's name for it is "bacterial SSU rRNA". It matches the Rfam family "Bacterial small subunit ribosomal RNA", at positions 25 to 873 of the family's 1533-position model. Lineage: Bacteria; Pseudomonadati; Pseudomonadota; Alphaproteobacteria; Rhodobacterales; Roseobacteraceae. The record is from RNAcentral.